RNAcentral lists this long non-coding RNA (402 nucleotides) under Gossypium barbadense (sea-island cotton). RNAcentral describes it as "long non-coding RNA (GBAR_LNC012198)". The record is from RNAcentral. Lineage: Eukaryota; Viridiplantae; Streptophyta; Magnoliopsida; Malvales; Malvaceae.
GAAAAAGCUCGAGUAAGCUGCUAUAAAGAAACUCACAACAUGGUUCUCAAAUCAUUAAAUAGUGGAUAAUUUCAUGACAGGUAGGGAGAGCUUGGGAAGGGUGGUUUAUAAAGGGGCCGUGGAGACCCAGAGAGAUUGGAUUUUGGCGUGUUUGGGAAUGGAGGAGACAAGCGAGCGACAAAGGAGGAGAGGGGGAAGAUGCAUAGGAGAGCGUAGCAACAGUGAGUAACACUCCUUUCACUCUCACAGGCAGUGUGCAGGUAGGCUAAAAAUGCUCGAUAAUCGAGCUCCUAAUCCCUUCCUCUUUUCGACUCCCGCUUACAUUUACUCUUUUUUCUUUUAUUCAGCCAAAAAGUGAGAGAUGUACAUGAUGCAGCAGAUAUGAAAUGAAGCAAUUUUAAC